GAACCAGCUUCUUGAAAUUCCAUAGCCUGUUCUUGAUUUUGAAAAAUAGAAUUUUCAAAUUGGAAAAACAACAGCCUUUAUUAAGAGAAUUUAUGGAGAGACAAAAUUUUGAAAUUUGUAAGUUUUCGUGAUUUAAGCAUUUGAUUACUCUCUCAAAGCUUUUCAAUUCAAAGCAAAAUUAAUUGCUGCCUUUACUUUGUG
Molecule: long non-coding RNA, 201 nt
Organism: Arabidopsis thaliana (thale cress)
Lineage: Eukaryota; Viridiplantae; Streptophyta; Magnoliopsida; Brassicales; Brassicaceae
Product: other RNA
Exons: 1
Source: RefSeq